This 448-nucleotide ribosomal RNA is filed under the name uncultured bacterium. RNAcentral's name for it is "bacterial SSU rRNA". It matches the Rfam family "Bacterial small subunit ribosomal RNA", at positions 28 to 457 of the family's 1533-position model. The record is from RNAcentral.
GACGAACGCUGGCGGCGUGCCUAACACAUGCAAGUCGAACGGAACUUCUUUAAAGGAUUUCUUCGGAAUGAAUUUGAUUAAGUUUAGUGGCGGACGGGUGAGUAACGCGUGAGUAACCUGCCUCUAAGAGGGGAAUAACAUUCUGAAAAGAAUGCUAAUACCGCAUAAUAUAUAUUUAUCGCAUGGUAGAUAUAUCAAAGAUUUAUCGCUUAGAGAUGGACUCGCGUCCGAUUAGUUAGUUGGUGAGGUAACGGCUCACCAAGACCGCGAUCGGUAGCCGGACUGAGAGGUUGAACGGCCACAUUGGGACUGAGACACGGCCCAGACUCCUACGGGAGGCAGCAGUGGGGGAUAUUGCGCAAUGGGGGAAACCCUGACGCAGCAACGCCGCGUGAAGGAUGAAGGUCUUCGGAUUGUAAACUUCUUUUAUUAAGGACGAAGAAAGUGA